ACCCAAGUUCUUUGUUUUGAGGGAUUGCAGCACCUUUGGGCUGAAAGAGUUUGUCCUAAUUCCCAGUGGAAUUAUUUUCAUCACGUGGACUUUGUGAUGGAAAUCUGAAGGUCCUAACACUUGUCCCUUAAUUGCAGACUUUAGAACCUGCUAACACAUUAUGAUCCUAUACUAGUCCUUUUGAGGCAUCAUGGUACAUACAAUGUAUUUGAUUUAUAUACGCACACAGGCCGCCAUGAUGCAGGAGCAUCCUGCGUUUGGCUAACCUCUUUUGCAAAGCCAUAUUCUUCAGGGAAACUACUUUAGCCUUCAAUUUUGCUUGUAUUUCCAUAGUGACAUUCUCCAAGAGAUCUAUGGCUCCUGUAGUCUUAUAUACAAAUUCUACCAAGGUGUGAAUCUCUUGAUAGGUUUCUGCCACCUCUACUGCUGGAAAAAGGCUCCUUCCCAUUUCCAGGCCUCCAGAGAAGACCCCCCGGUGACACGUGUGGCAUGACGAUGAACAGGAGAAUUGCCAAGCAACAUCCAGAAAAACCUGGGCAGGAACUCGCAAUCAAGCAAGAAAACAGAGAACUGAAAAUAGGAAUGGGCAGGCAUGGACUUUACAUGAAAGGACUGAUGCAGGAGAGAAACCACGUAAAUGCAUGUCACCUCAGUAGACAUCAAAGAACACAUGCAGGGGAAAUUAUCCAGAGGGCGAGCAACUGUGAGGUCAUUGGGAAGUCAGAGAUAACUGGUCGGGUCGUAAGAGGCAUAGAGUCCCAGAAGGAGUUCCGCGCUGAGGUAUCCAGAUUCGAACCCAGAGCCAUGCUGAGCCAAGCAGACAACGAGAAAGAUCAUCAGCCAGCUGAGUUCCU
This 854-nucleotide long non-coding RNA is filed under the name Pogona vitticeps (central bearded dragon). RNAcentral describes it as "lncRNA (ENSPVIG00000004377.1)". Lineage: Eukaryota; Metazoa; Chordata; Lepidosauria; Squamata; Agamidae. The record is from RNAcentral.